GUGCUUGUUUCAGUAGCACAUAUACUAAAGUUGGAACCAUACAGAGAAGAUUAGCAUGGCCCCUGUGUGAAGAUGAUACACAAAAUAUUAGGCACUUGGGAUUAACAU
Small nuclear RNA from Bison bison bison, 108 nucleotides. NCBI's taxonomy places the organism in Eukaryota, Metazoa, Chordata, Mammalia, Artiodactyla, Bovidae. The record is from Ensembl.